RNAcentral lists this ribosomal RNA (453 nucleotides) under uncultured Methylobacterium sp. RNAcentral's name for it is "partial 16S ribosomal RNA". Lineage: Bacteria; Pseudomonadati; Pseudomonadota; Alphaproteobacteria; Hyphomicrobiales; Methylobacteriaceae. The record is from RNAcentral.
CACGAAGUUAGCCGGGGCUUAUUCCUCCGGUACCGUCAUUAUCGUCCCGGAUAAAAGAGCUUUACAACCCUAAGGCCUUCAUCACUCACGCGGCAUGGCUGGAUCAGGCUUGCGCCCAUUGUCCAAUAUUCCCCACUGCUGCCUCCCGUAGGAGUCUGGGCCGUGUCUCAGUCCCAGUGUGGCUGAUCAUCCUCUCAGACCAGCUACUGAUCGUCGCCUUGGUAGGCCGUUACCCCACCAACUAGCUAAUCAGACGCGGGCCGAUCUUCCGGCAGUAAACCUUUCCCCAUAAGGGCGUAUCCGGUAUUAGCCCUAGUUUCCCAGGGUUAUUCCGAACCAGAAGGCACGUUCCCACGCGUUACUCACCCGUCCGCCGCUGACCCCGAAGGGCCCGCUCGACUUGCAUGUGUUAAGCCUGCCGCCAGCGUUCGCUCUGAGCCAGGAUCAAACUCU